UAUUUAUCUUGACAUUUUAUACAUGUUGUGAUGGUAAAGAAAUAUGAUUUUCUUUAACCCUUCACACUGAAGUCCUGUGCCAACCAAUGAAAACUAUCAGUUGGGAACCCCUAGUCUACCACACAGAACUAACAUCAUCGUUUUAUUCCAUAGGUCCUAGUGCAGACUUCAACAAGAGACCAAGGAGAAGAAGUUAAAGAUGGAGGUAUCAGCAGUCAAGCUUGAGUUGAAGUUAGAAAGAGAAGCAAACAGUAGGCAUGAAGAAGAAAAAGAAAAGCUAAAGGGAAAAUAUAGAGUUAAGAAGACAUUGAAGGAAUCUGAAGAGAAGAUAAAGGAGAAGGACUCAACUCUGGAGGAGAUGAAGAAGACAUUGAAUCUGAAGAGAAGAUAAAAGAGAAGGGCUCAACUCUGGGGGAGAUGAAGAAGACAGAAGAGAAGCAUCUAAAGGAAAAAGACAGAAAAGUAAACUUGCUCAACAGUUGAGCGAUUUGAAGUUUGAAAUGGAGAAACUGAAAACAAAAACCUCAGUCCUGAAGACCGGUGAGUGACAUACUGUAACUUUCUGGACUAACAGUUGUUUGGCUUUCUAGCAGCUGCUGGGCAAUUCAAACAAAUUACUGUUUAAUGGGCUAUAACAGUGUGGCUGCAGCAUGUCUACUUUCCAUGGGUAAUGGGAAUGUCAACAAUCCACACGGCACUAGGGGGAUCGUACAAC
This is a long non-coding RNA of Esox lucius (northern pike), 715 nucleotides long. RefSeq lists it as uncharacterized. Lineage: Eukaryota; Metazoa; Chordata; Actinopteri; Esociformes; Esocidae. The record is from RefSeq and is a predicted model, not a curated record. The transcript is spliced from 3 exons.